AAAACACAGCACUGUGCCAACACGAAAGUGGACGUAUACGGUGUGACGCCUGCCCGGUGCCGGAAGGUUAAGUGAUGGGGUGCAAGCUCUUGAUCGAAGCCCCGGUAAACGGCGGCCGUAACUAUAACGGUCCUAAGGUAGCGAAAUUCCUUGUCGGGUAAGUUCCGACCCGCACGAAUGGCGUAACGAUGGCCACACUGUCUCCUCCUGAGACUCAGCGAAGUUGAAGUGUUUGUGAAGAUGCAAUCUCCCCGCUGCUAGACGGAAAGACCCCGUGAACCUUUACUGUAGCUUUGCAUUGGACUUUGAACAGACUUGUGUAGGAUAGGUGGGAGGCUUUGAAGCCAGGACGCUAGUUCUGGUGGAGCCGUCCUUGAAAUACCACCCUGGUGUGUUUGAGGUUCUAACCUUGGUCCGUGAUCCGGAUUGGGGACAGUGCAUGGUAGGCAGUUUGACUGGGGCGGUCUCCUCCCAAAGUGUAACGGAGGAGUUCGAAGGUUACCUAGGUACGGUCGGAAAUCGUGCUGAUAGUGCAAUGGCAAAAGGUAGCUUAACUGCGAGACCGACAAGUCGAGCAGGUGCGAAAGCAGGACAUAGUGAUCCGGUGGUUCUGAAUGGAAGGGCCAUCGCUCAACGGAUAAAAGGUACUCCGGGGAUAACAGGCUGAUACCGCCCAAGAGUUCACAUCGACGGCGGUGUUUGGCACCUCGAUGUCGGCUCAUCACAUCCUGGGGCUGUAGCCGGUCCCAAGGGUAUGGCUGUUCGCCAUUUAAAGUGGUACGUGAGCUGGGUUCAAAACGUCGUGAGACAGUUUGGUCCCUAUCUGCAGUGGGCGUUGGAAGUUUGACGGGGGCUGCUCCUAGUACGAGAGGACCGGAGUGGACGCACCUCUGGUGUACCGGUUGUGACGCCAGUCGCAUUGCCGGGUAGCUAAGUGCGGAAGAGAUAACCGCUGAAAGCAUCUAAGCGGGAAACUUGCCUGAAGAUGAGACUUCCCUGGAGGCUUGACCUCCCUGAAGAGUCGUUCGAGACCAGGACGUUGAUAGGUCGGGUGUGGAAGCGCUGUGAGGCGUGAAGCUAACCGAUACUAAUUGCUCGUGAGGCUUGAUCCU
This 1112-nucleotide ribosomal RNA is filed under the name Chromobacterium violaceum. Its description in RNAcentral is "bacterial LSU rRNA". It matches the Rfam family "Bacterial large subunit ribosomal RNA", at positions 1810 to 2925 of the family's 2925-position model. The record is from RNAcentral. Lineage: Bacteria; Pseudomonadati; Pseudomonadota; Betaproteobacteria; Neisseriales; Chromobacteriaceae.